AAGACUAUACCUUCAGGGAUCAUUUCUAUAGUUUGUUACUAGAGAAGUUUUUCUGAAUAUAUAAAGCACCAGGGGAAAAAAAGAAAAGAAAACUGA
Molecule: small nucleolar RNA, 96 nt
Filed under: Otolemur garnettii (small-eared galago)
Lineage: Eukaryota; Metazoa; Chordata; Mammalia; Primates; Galagidae
Description: Small nucleolar RNA U3
Rfam family: Small nucleolar RNA U3
About the family: Small nucleolar RNAs (snoRNAs) are involved in the processing and modification of rRNA in the nucleolus. There are two main classes of snoRNAs: the box C/D class, and the box H/ACA class.
Source: Rfam by way of RNAcentral